AUGGGGUACAAGGUCAAACAGCUCCAGGAGAUCUGGGGCUGUGGAGUCUCAACAACAGCCCCAUCUGUCUAUCCACUGGCUCCUGCAUGUGGAGGCCCAACUGGCUCCACAGUGACCCUGGGAUGCCUGGUCAAGGGCUAUUUCCCUGAGCCGGCGACCGUAACCUGGAACUCUGGAAGCCUGACCAGCGACGUGCGCACCUUCCCAUCGGUCCUGCAUUCUGGGCUCUACUCCCUCAGCAGCUCAGUGACUGUGUCCUCCAACGUGUGGCCCAGCCAGACCGUCACCUGCAAUGUCGCCCACCCGGCCAGCAGCACCAAGGUGGACAAGAAAAUUGUGCCCAGAGGUAAAAUCGAGGAUAAAAAUAACUGUCCUACGAUUCCUACAUGCCCUACGUGUCCAGCUCCUGAUCUCUUGGGUGGACCAUCCGCCUUCAUCUUCCCCCCAAAGCCCAAGGAUGUGCUCAUGAUGGCCGGGAAGCCCAAGAUCACAUGUGUGGUGGUGGACGUGAGUGAGGAAGAACCAGAUGUCCAGUUCAGCUGGUUUGUGAACAAUAAAGAAGAGAAAACAGCUCAGACACAGCCCCGUGAGAGGCAGUACAACAGUACCUUCCGCGUGGUCAGUGUCCUCCCCAUCCAGCACAAUGACUGGAUGAAUGGCAAGGAGUUCAAAUGCAAGGUCAAAAACAAUGCCCUCCCAAGCCCCAUCGAGAAAACCAUCUCGAAACCCAAAGGGCAAGUUCGAGAGCCACAGGUCUAUACCUUUCCUCCACCUGCAGAGCAGAUGACCAAAACAGAGGUCAGUGUGACCUGCUUGGUCACAGGCUUCCUCCCUGAGGACAUCCAUGUAGAGUGGCAGAGCAACGGGAAGGAAGAACAGAACUACAAGAACACCCCGCCUGUCUUGGACUCUGAAGGCUCUUACUUCAUGUACAGCAAGCUCACUGUGCCAAAGAGCAGGUGGGAUCGGGGAGGCAGCUUCACCUGCUUCGUGCUACAUGAGGCUCUGCACAGCCACCAGACAAUGAAGUCCAUCUCCCGGUCUCAGGAGCUGGAACUGGACGACAACUGUGCUGAGGCCCUGGACGGGGAGCUGGACGGGCUCUGGACGACCAUCACCAUCUUCAUCACCCUCUUCCUGCUCAGCGUGUGCUACAGUGCCACUGUCACACUCUUCAAGGUAAAGUGGAUCUUCUCCUCAGUGGUGGAAUUGAAGCAAGCAAUCUCCCCUGACUACAGAAAUAUGAUUGGGCAGGGUGCCUAG
Microtus ochrogaster (prairie vole) is the source of this 1263-nucleotide non-coding RNA. NCBI's taxonomy places the organism in Eukaryota, Metazoa, Chordata, Mammalia, Rodentia, Cricetidae. The record is from the annotation of a RefSeq genome assembly.